This 1541-nucleotide long non-coding RNA is filed under the name Triticum aestivum (bread wheat). RNAcentral describes it as "long non-coding RNA (TAES_LNC016604)". Lineage: Eukaryota; Viridiplantae; Streptophyta; Magnoliopsida; Poales; Poaceae. The record is from RNAcentral.
CUGAACCCCACGUUCUCCCACCUCUCCAUCGCUCUCUCCCUGAUCUCCCUCGCUGCCAUCCCCGCCCUCGAAUCACCAUCUACCUCUAUCCACCCCGCGCGUCGGUGCCGCCGCGACCCUCGCACCUCCCCACGCGCCACCACCGCUCUACCUCUCCCCCACCCGAGUCCGGCUUCCUACCGCCGACACACGGAUCUAGCUGCCGCACAGGAUCCCGCCACCGCGUUCGUCGCUUGCUGGGACCGACGACGCGUCGGAAGCCAACCCGUCUGUGAUCUCCGGUCAACGAGGCACGACGGCCACCCCUCCCCCUGUUUCCACGGCCUCGACCCGGUUGCCCAUCGCCGACGCUCCUCCUCCCCAACCCCUUCUUCCCUGAUCCACCCCGCCUGCACCUUCGGUGAUGCGGUCCACCAGCCUCCUUCCCCGGUGCGAGCCACCAGCCCGACCCUCGCCGGCGUGAUGCCCCUGCGCGCCGCCGUGGCACAGGCCCCCACAAGAGAUCCAGCCGCGACGUACUGCUCAAAAGCGAAGGACAGCGAUGAGAUUCUCUCCUUCGGCGCCGGCGUCGUCGCUCUCGGCUACCUACUGUGUCAAGGACAUUCAUAGGCCACGAAUCCAGCGGGUGCUAGCACGUCGGAAGUGGUGCUGCCACGGUGAGUUACUCCAUCAGAGCGAGGACAACGACACUUCUUGCAGCAAAAAACUGCAGUGUUCUUCAUUAUAUUUCCAUAAAUAUUUGAGGCAAUUCUUUUGUAUCAGUUCAACAAAAAUAUUGGAUGCAGUUCCGCCGAUACAUGCGUGGAAGGAAAACUUCGUAUGAGCAGAAGUCACACCACCCCUACAGCGAGUCUCCGGCUUCUCAGGGAGUCGAUGAGGUCACCUGGGCUCCUGCAAGAAGGAUGACAGGGUCAGCAAGAACGUAGAUAUCAUCAAGAUGGCCAGGAUUGGAGCGGCUUGAUCUGGCUCACUCCAGCGGAUCCUCUCCUCUGUCGCUCUUGCUGGCCAAGCCAAGCUGGACAUGGAUGUGUGGGUGUGCAUUCUCACUUUGAACUCCGUUCUGGGCGACUCGAUGUGUGUGCUCACUGUGUGGGUCGCCAUCUCUCGAUCCUGCCAAGCUACACCAGCACUUGUUGUUUCCUCUCCCUGCUGCAAUCAGUGUUGUGAGCAACGGACAAGAUGGAGGCAUGGAGUUGGCGUGUGGAUAUGGGAAGGGAGCUGUUAAUGCACUUGGCCUGCUCAACAACUAUCGUUGUGCGUGUACUUGGACGGCUGCAGAUAGUGCAACCGAACGUCCGUAUGUGUUUUUGGCAUCCCAUUUUUAUAGUUGAUGCUAAUGAACAUUCGUCCGCAUUCUUUCGUAGUGUUGCUAUUUACUGGAAACAAUCAUUGGUUUUCAGUUGGUCAUUUCUUGUACUAGAACAUCAGGUGCUUGUGCUAAUGUCGGUGAGACAAAAUUAUGAAACAAUAUGCAGAGUAGUACUAAAUCAUGAUAACAAGAUAAUUUAAAAUAAAAAUUGUUCAUUGGAUUCUAAUUUAAG